CGGAGGGUGCUAGCGUUGUUCGGAAUUACUGGGCGUAAAGGGCGCGUAGGCGGCUUCUUGCGUCGGAUGUGAAAGCCCGGGGCUCAACCUCGGAACGGCAUCCGAUACGGGGGAGCUGGAGACCGGGAGAGGAGGGUGGAAUAGCCAGUGUAGAGGUGAAAUUCGUAGAUAUUGGCUGGAACACCGGUGGCGAAAGCGGCUCUCUGGCCCGGUUCUGACGCUGAGGCGCGAAAGCGUGGGGAGCAAACAGGAUU
Molecule: ribosomal RNA, 254 nt
Filed under: uncultured bacterium
Lineage: Bacteria
Description: partial 16S ribosomal RNA
Rfam family: Bacterial small subunit ribosomal RNA
Source: RNAcentral